Long non-coding RNA from Dreissena polymorpha, 3215 nucleotides. RefSeq lists it as uncharacterized. The record is from RefSeq and is a predicted model, not a curated record. The transcript is spliced from 6 exons. NCBI's taxonomy places the organism in Eukaryota, Metazoa, Mollusca, Bivalvia, Myida, Dreissenidae.
GCCCUUCCACUCUCAACCUGAAGAAAUCAAAACUCAAACUCGUCUCUUAGCAAUAUCAGCAAGGCCAGCAUGUCAUCUCAGCUUCUUGAACUUCAGUGAACUUAACUAGCAAACAUGACAAACGUCAUUGAAGUGAAUGUCGAUGACAACCCCCUUCUUGCACAAAUACUACAAUUGCUUAAGAAAUUCAGCACGAAGACGUCUUGCGUCAGACUACCAAGCCUCCUAUCAAUAUCUUCUCCCAUGUUGGCUACAUCAACACUUCCAACAGCAGAGCCUUGGUGAGUUAGACUUCCGUCUCAGCAUCGAUGUCGCUUAGCAACAAUUGGAUGAUGGGCGUCGACAAAUUAUGCCGUACAAGUCGCUCGAACUGAAACGAUCUGAUCCAACAGGUAGAGCGUCCAUUAAUGUGACUACUCGAUAUGUUGUUCUCGAAUAAUGUGAACCUUAGGCCUGGAGAGCAGUAUGCGAUUGACGCCAUUCAACAACAGUUGUUGUCGGCAAUUCUCGGGUUUGAGGUGGCGACUUCAGCGUCGGGACUCGCUCCAUCUCUGUCUGGCCCAGUCACAGCAGCAGCAGCAACAAGAACAAUAAGUAGUAUCUUAGUGGUGUUCUGGGAUAUGGGGCUUCAUGUAUGUGCUUAAAUUGUCAUCCCAGAUUAGCCUGUGCAGACUGCACCUACAUUAAGUCCUAUUAAAUUGUCGUCCCAGAUUAGCGUAUGCAGACUGCACAUACAUAAAGUCCUAUUAAAUUGUCAUCCCAGAUUAGCCUGUGCAAACUGCACAAACAUUACGUCCUAUUAAAGUGUCAUCCCAGAUUAGCCUGUGCAGACUGCACAUACAUUAAGUCCUAUUAAAGUGUCAUCCCAGAUAAGCCUGUGCAGACUGCACAUUAAGUCCUAUUAAAGUGUCAUCACAGAUUAGCCUGUGCAGACUGCACAUACAUUAAGUCCUAUUAAAUUGUCGUCCCAGAUUAGCGUAUGCAGACUGCACAUACAUAAAGUCCUAUUAAAUUGUCAUCCCAGAUUAGCCUGUGCAGACUGCACAAACAUUACGUCCUAUUAAAGUGUCAUCCCAGAUUAGCCUGUGCAGACUGCACAUACAUUAAGUCCUAUUCAAGUGUCAUCUCAGAUUAGCCUGUGCAGACUGCACAAACAUUAAGUCCUAUUAAAGUGUCAUCCCAGAUUAGCCUGUGCAGACUGCACAUACAUUAAGCCCUAUUUUCCCAGAUUGAGUCUCAUAUACUACACUUUACAUCAGUAUUUUAUGUGCCUGAAAAGUUCCUAGCAUCAAAUGGGAAUUAUGUGCUUUUAAAUUGAUCACACUAAGUAAAUAAAAUGCAAAUAGCACUUGAUCUGAUAUCAAUUUUAAUCAUAGAAGGUCAGGGCAUGAAGUUUUGUAUAUUUUCGACCGAAAUUCAGCCCCUGAACCAAAAGUUUAUCCUUGCAGAAAAAUCUGCUUUAAUAGAAUUGUAAAAUUAUAUUUAAUGUAGUAAAAUAAUUAUGUAAAAGCCUUCAGCUCAUUUCAAUAUUAUUUUCUUUAUUUAUUUUCAAUAUUGAUUAAAAUUACUGGAUAUUGUUUUAAGAGCCUGUUCCUACAGGAACCCAUGCACUCAUAGAUCGGUACCUAGCUGAACAACAGGCUGUCUGGUCAGCUGGGCCCAGACGCCCAGUGACACUUCCUGGCCCAGGACCUUUGGGCAAAUGCUCAACUAGUCCUACCCACAGGGUGGAGCCACACUGAUCCUGGGGCUCCAUACUUUCUUGGCCAGGGGCCAAGAUAACCUCGCCAAUAAGGGACACAUUCCUGGGAUGCCCUAAGGUCUUUCUAUCUGUUCACAGAGGUCUUAUACUCACAAGUUCAAGCCCAUUGAGCGAUGUUCACAUUAUCAAACUCUGCAUCUCAAUAGGUUGUUUUCAUCCGAUCUUCACCAAACUUUGUCAGAAGUCGUAUCUAGAUGGUGUCAUGGUCAAGUGUGAAUAUGGGUCAUGCAGGAUCAAAACCUAGGGCAUGAAACCCGGAUAGCAAAGCGUUGGUUUGUUUUUGAAACAUUUGAACCAGCAACAGUCAUCAUUGGAGUUUCUGACAUGUCUAUGGUGUGGAACCCUCAGUCUAUGAACAUAAUAACAGCACAUGAACCAGCAGCAGUCAUCAUCUCAAGAUUCUGGUAUAUCCAUGGUACAGGACCCUUAGUCUGUACAGAUCUUGCAGAACAAACUUCAGAUGCAAUUUGAGAAAAUCAAACCAUCCAAUCGGAAACACAGCCUGUUGCAGCAAUUGUUAACAUAUUGAUCCCAGUCAAACCUAAGAAGCUCAGAGUUACAUACUGUUUAACAUGUGCUAGUCUUCAUAUACCUCCUGGUUUGUUCAGCACUUACUCUUUGAAUGUUAUGACGGGUGAAAAUGAAUGACCUUGUUCAGAUCGAAAUUGCAGAAUGACACAUCACAACAAUUCAAGUGGAAAGCCACAAAGCCAUGUCAACAGCCACAUGUUGUAUGUUGCCAGCCAAGCUGUAUUAAAAAACACAAAAGCUUACGUUUUAUGUUAUAUGUGACCAACCAAGUUAUAUUCAUACAAAAACAAUAGUUUAUGCUUUAUGGGAAUUGUUAUGCUGUCAGUCUUUAUGUUGAAAUAUUGUGUUCAAUAUAGCAUGUUAAGUAUUUUAAAAGCACGCAUAUUGCUCGUAUAUGCAAUCUCUUUGUCUAUAUUAUGAUAUCACUACAUAUUGUGAUCCCGAUAAUGGUAAACUAAUGGGAAAUAUGCUUUAAUCAAAGACUUUCAAAGUGUGACAAAGCUGUCUAAAUGAGGUUGGUAACUUGGACAACAUUAAUAAAAUAUUGGAGUAUUUUCAUGUUAUAAAACAUGUUUCAGUUUUCUGUUUUUUUACCCGUAUUAUAGAUAAGCUAGAUAAAAGUAGUGUAAAGAAAGGUUUAGAAGUUUUACGCUUCAGCUUUUCUGUUUAUCAAUCUUUCUAAAAAAAAAUACUAAUAAAUUUGCACAUUCGGGUCGGUUUUCGAACAAGAAUCUUGUUUAAUAGCAUUCGUGGAAAUCCAAAUAAAUUAUGUGCACACUUAUGUAAUUUACCUAAAAGUGUCGAUUCUGUAUUUACUACCAGUACUUUGUUGAUUUCAAUGGAUAUUGUUUGUUAAAUAGUCGAGAAUGGCUCUUGCAUUUUUGGGAAAACUUUAAGGAAAACCUGAAAAUUAAAAAAAAAA